GAUGAACGCUGGCGGCGUGCCUAAUACAUGCAAGUCGAGCGAAUGGAUUAAGAGCUUGCUCUUAUGAAGUUAGCGGCGGACGGGUGAGUAACACGUUGGUAACCUGCCCAUAAGACUGGGAUAACUCCGGGAAACCGGGGCUAAUACCGGAUAACAUUUUGAACCGCAUGGUUCGAAAUGGAAAGCCGGCUUCGGCUGUCACUUAUGGAUGGACCCGUGUCGCAUUAGCUAGUUGGUGAGGUACCGGCUCACCAAGGCAACGAUGCGUAGCCGACCUGAGAGGGUGAUCGGCCACACUGGGACUGAGACACGGCCCAGACUCCUACGGGAGGCAGCAGUAGGGAAUCUUCCGCAAUGGACGAAAGUCUGACGGAGCAACGCCGCGUGAGUGAUGAAGGCUUUCGGGUCGUAAAACUCUGUUGUUAGGGAAGAACAAGUGCUAGUUGAAUAAGCUGGCACCUUGACGGUACCUAACCAGAAAGCCACGGCUAACUACGUGCCAGCAGCCGCAGUAA
This 515-nucleotide ribosomal RNA is filed under the name uncultured bacterium. RNAcentral's name for it is "partial 16S ribosomal RNA". It matches the Rfam family "Bacterial small subunit ribosomal RNA", at positions 28 to 523 of the family's 1533-position model. The record is from RNAcentral.